This 131-nucleotide ribosomal RNA is filed under the name Clostridioides difficile. Its description in RNAcentral is "partial 16S ribosomal RNA". It matches the Rfam family "Bacterial small subunit ribosomal RNA", at positions 1412 to 1533 of the family's 1533-position model. Lineage: Bacteria; Bacillati; Bacillota; Clostridia; Peptostreptococcales; Peptostreptococcaceae. The record is from RNAcentral.
UGGAGACGCCCGAAGCCGAUUAUCUAACCUUUUGGAAGAAGUCGUCGAAGGGGGAAUCAAUAACUGGGGUGAAGUCGUAACAAGGUAGCCGUAUCGGAAGGUGCGGCUGGAUCACCUCCUUUCUAAGGAGA